CCCGCUGAACUUAAGCAUAUCAAUAAGCGGAGGAAAAGAAACUAACAAGGAUUCCCCUAGUAACUGCGAGUGAAGCGGGAAAAGCUCAAAUUUAAAAUCUGGCAGCCAUUUUACGGUUGUCCGAGUUGUAAUCUAGAGAAGUGCUUUCCGUGCUGGACCGUGUACAAGUCUCUUGGAAUAGAGCAUCAUAGAGGGUGAGAAUCCCGUCUUUGACACGGACUACCAGUGCUUUAUGUGAUGCGCUCUCAAAGAGUCGAGUUGUUUGGGAAUGCAGCUCAAAAUGGGUGGUAAAUUCCAUCUAAAGCUAAAUAUUGGCGAGAGACCGAUAGCGAACAAGUACCGUGAGGGAAAGAUGAAAAGAACUUUGGAAAGAGAGUUAAACAGUACGUGAAAUUGUUGAAAGGGAAACGCUUGAAGUCAGUCGCGUCGUCCGGGGAUCAGCCUUGCUCUUUUGCUCGGUGUAUUUCCUGGUCGACGGGUCAGCAUCGGUUUCGACCGUCGGAAAAUGGCUCGAGGAAUGUGGCACUCUUCGGAGUGUGUUAUAGACUCGGGUCGAAUACGACGAUUGGGACCGAGGAACUCAGCACGACCUUAGGGUUCGGGGCUUCGGCCCACGUCAACGUGCUUAGGAUGCUGGCAUAAUGGCCUUAAGCGACCCGUCUUGAAACACGG
Molecule: ribosomal RNA, 672 nt
Filed under: uncultured fungus
Lineage: Eukaryota; Fungi
Description: eukaryotic LSU rRNA
Rfam family: Eukaryotic large subunit ribosomal RNA
Source: RNAcentral